UAGGGAAUAUUGCUCAAUGGGGGAAACCCUGAAGCAGCAACGCCGCGUGGAGGAUGAAGGUUUUAGGAUUGUAAACUCCUUUUGUAAGAGAAGAUUAUGACGGUAUCUUACGAAUAAGCACCGGCUAACUCCGUGCCAGCAGCCGCGGUAAUACGGAGGGUGCAAGCGUUACUCGGAAUCACUGGGCGUAAAGAGUGCGCAGGCGGGCUUGUAAGUCAGAUGUGAAAUCCUGUAGCUUAACUACAGAACUGCAUUUGAAACUAUGAGUCUAGAGUGUGGGAGAGGUAGGUGGAAUUCUUGGUGUAGGGGUAAAAUCCGUAGAUAUCAAGAGGAAUACUCAUUGCGAAGGCGACCUACUGGAACAUUACUGACGCUCAUGCACGAAAGCGUGGGGAGCAAACAGG
This 404-nucleotide ribosomal RNA is filed under the name uncultured bacterium. RNAcentral's name for it is "bacterial SSU rRNA". It matches the Rfam family "Bacterial small subunit ribosomal RNA", at positions 355 to 776 of the family's 1533-position model. The record is from RNAcentral.